RNAcentral lists this long non-coding RNA (305 nucleotides) under Setaria italica (foxtail millet). RNAcentral's name for it is "long non-coding RNA (SITA_LNC005637)". Lineage: Eukaryota; Viridiplantae; Streptophyta; Magnoliopsida; Poales; Poaceae. The record is from RNAcentral.
GGGAGUUGUACGGUAACUGAAUUAUCUGUCGAAUAAAUGUGUUAUCAGCCUCCUGGGACUGAUAUUUGUAUCACAUUUAGUCUCUACUUAUGUGGGGACGCUUCAGGUGGUAUCAGAGCCGUCGUUGGCUGUAGGACGCAACCUUAGGACUGGAUUAGCCCUUUUUUGACCAAAACAAAAGAAUUACAAAAUUUCUUCCUACCUCUGCUCUAUUGAAAAACUAAUUUGUGCCCCGGAUCUUUUCCAGAUGGCCGAGGAAGGAUGGGUCAACAGCCACUGCCUGGAGGAGCCUGGUUUUCCCAGAU